Long non-coding RNA from Ursus maritimus (polar bear), 1685 nucleotides. The record is from Ensembl. NCBI's taxonomy places the organism in Eukaryota, Metazoa, Chordata, Mammalia, Carnivora, Ursidae.
GAAGCAGGCUCCUAGCGGAGGAGCCUGAUGUGGGGCUCGAUCCCAGAACGCUGGGAUCAUGCCCUGAGCCGCCCUGAGCCGAAGGCAGACGCUUAAUGAUUGCGCCACCUAGGCGCCCCAAUACACCCUAAAUUGUAUCAUGCUUCCUGCCGAAGUAAGCCCGGAAUGGAUCCGGGGGCGGGGGUGGGGGGUCUCCUCCCACCCCGGGGUCUUAGUAAGGCAGCUCAGGCGGUAAAGGAGCGGGGCGCCCUGAAGCAAGUUCCAGUCAACAUGGGGUAAUUGUGGGAUAGUCUCAAGAAUAUCUUGAGAAAAGAAGGGGGAGAGCCUGCUGCUGAGUGAUGUCAGAACGUCCGUGCCAGGCCAGGAAAAUCUGAGCUGGAAUCUUGACAAAGUGAAUCCUUACACGAGGUGCUCAGGGUGCGUGUGCACACACACCUGUGCUCUCUGCCACACAGGACUGAAGUGUGGGAGCCGUGCCGAUGAUGUGAAAAGUACAGAAACUGUCCUGGAAACUGGGUUCUUCCCUAGAAUUUCUGGUUGGAGAAAUUCACCAGUCGGUGGACAUCCGUGGCAGGUCUCCCUAAAAUGAGGUGAUCACCACUUCUGUGGAGGAAGCUUGAUCCAAGAGGAUCUGGUUGUUACCGCAGCGCACUGCCUGGCUGGCCUCAGUGAGAAGCAAAUUAAGAGUCUGACUGUGAUUGCUGGGCAUGACAGCCUCUCUCAGAAGGGUGAGCACGAACAGAAGAGUCCUGUCUCAAAAAUUAUUAACCAUCCUGAGUACAAUAGACUUGGAUAUGAGUUCUGAUAUUGCACUGCUCUAUCUAAAACACAAAAUUGAGUUUGGAACUGCUGUUCAGCCAAUCAGUCUUCCCCAUAAGGAUGAUAAGUUUGAAGCAGGGAUUCUAUACAUGACCAGUGGAUGGUGCAUGAUCUCAGAGAGUAAGAGGCAUCAAAAGGGUAUAAUAAUAGUUCUUCUAGGUUUCUUUGCCCAUGAGAAGCAGGAAUUUUAUUGGCCACAAGUAAUACAUUUAUCCUAUUUUGUUUUUACUUUUUUCCCCUGAGUUAUGAUGCAGUGAGAAUUUCUGGUUGUCUUCCCCGUAAAAAUGACUACACUUAAGGCUGUACGUAAAACUUCUGGUGCCCAUUUUGGUGAGGUGUGUCAGAAAAGGCGAACGAGCAGUAACUAUGACAGAUGAAGAAGAAUACAGUAAAGGGGUCAUCAGGAAGUAGCAACAAUCGUUCAGCUUCUUUGUCUUUCAUGUUGUGAUUUUUUACAGUAAAGAAUUUCACAAAACACUGCUUCAUUGAUUCAAGGUUUCCCUCUUGGGGAAACUUCAGUGAGGACAGUGGUUGACUAACUUAUCAGACUGUCUCCACAGCAUCAGAACAUUCAGACAUCCUACAAGUAGUAGAACUUCCCAUCGUGGAUAACAGAAUGUGUAACAGUGUGCCCAAGGGUAUCGACUUUCCUCUCCUGGAAAGGACCGUGAUGUGUGCCAGUUUUCCUGAUGGAGAAGAGAAUGCCUGCCAGGUCAAAAGCAUCGAACAGCUUUUGAUCAACCAUCAAUUCAGUAUCAUGUAGAUGAUAGUUUAUUCCGCCUUUCCCCAGGAGCUGCUUUUGCAGGAUUACUGCUUGAAAAUUCUUUUUUUGUUCGUCUUUCUACCAUGCUUCUACUGAAAAAGUU